This 933-nucleotide ribosomal RNA is filed under the name Chlorociboria sp. PDD81292. RNAcentral describes it as "eukaryotic LSU rRNA". It matches the Rfam family "Eukaryotic large subunit ribosomal RNA", at positions 30 to 980 of the family's 3401-position model. The record is from RNAcentral. Lineage: Eukaryota; Fungi; Ascomycota; Leotiomycetes; Helotiales; Chlorociboriaceae.
AAACUUAAGCAUAUCAAUAAGCGGAGGAAAAGAAACCAACAGGGAUUACCUCAGUAACGGCGAGUGAAGCGGUAACAGCUCAAAUUUGAAAUCUGGCCCUUGUGGGGCCCGAGUUGUAAUUUGGAGAAGAUGCUUUGGGUGCGGCCCGGGUCUAAGUUCCUUGGAACAGGGCGUCAGAGAGGGUGAGAAUCCCGUAUGUGAUUGGGUGCCCGCGCCUAUGUAAAGCUCUUUCGACGAGUCGAGUUGUUUGGGAAUGCAGCUCAAAAUGGGUGGUAUAUUUCAUCUAAAGCUAAAUAUGAGCCAGAGACCGAUAGCGCACAAGUAGAGUGAUCGAAAGAUGAAAAGCACUUUGGAAAGAGAGUUAAACAGUACGUGAAAUUGUUGAAAGGGAAGCGCUUGCAACCAGACUUGCGUGCGGCCCGUCACCUGGUGCUCGCACCGGGGCACUGGGUCGCGCGCAGGCCAGCAUCGGUUUGGGUGGUUGGAGAAAGGCCGGGAGAACGUGGCUCCCCUCGGGGAGUGUUACAGCUCCCGGCGCCAUGCAGCCUACCCAGACCGAGGACCGCGCUCCGGCUAGGAUGCUGGCGUAAUGGUUGUAAGCGACCCGUCUUGAAACACGGACCAAGGAGUCUAACAUCUAUGCGAGUGUUUGGGUGACAAACCCAUGCGCGGAAUUAACGUGAAUGGAGGUGAGAACCCUUCAGGGUGCAUCAUCGACCGAUCCUGAUGUCUUCGGAUGGAUUUGAGUAAGAGCAUAGCUGUUGGGACCCGAAAGAUGGUGAACUAUGCCUAAAUAGGGUGAAGCCAGAGGAAACUCUGGUGGAGGCUCGCAGCGGUUCUGACGUGCAAAUCGAUCGUCAAAUUUGGGUAUAGGGGCGAAAGACUAAUCGAACCAUCUAGUAGCUGGUUCCUGCCGAAGUUUCCCUCAGGAAC